Molecule: ribosomal RNA, 496 nt
Filed under: uncultured bacterium
Lineage: Bacteria
Description: partial 16S ribosomal RNA
Rfam family: Bacterial small subunit ribosomal RNA
Source: RNAcentral
ACGAACGCUGGCGGCGUGCCUAAUACAUGCAAGUUGAGCGAUGAAGAUUGGUGCUUGCCCCAAUUUGAAGAGCAGCGAACGGGUGAGUAACGCGUGGGGAAUCUGCCUUUGAGCGGGGGACAACAUUUGGAAACGAAUGCUAAUACCGCAUAAUAACUUUAAACAUAAGUUUUAAGUUUGAAAGAUGCAAUUGCAUCACUCAAAGAUGAUCCCGCGUUGUAUUAGCUAGUUGGUGUGGUAAAGGCUCACCAAGGCGAUGAUACAUAGCCGACCUGAGAGGGUGAUCGGCCACAUUGGGACUGAGACACGGCCCAAACUCCUACGGGAGGCAGCAGUAGGGAAUCUUCGGCAAUGGACGAAAGUCUGACCGAGCAACGCCGCGUGAGUGAAGAAGGUUUUCGGAUCGUAAAACUCUGUUGGUAGAGAAGAACGUUGGUGAGAGUGGAAAGCUCAUCAAGUGACGGUAACUACCCAGAAAGGGACGGCUAACUACGUG